Molecule: unclassified non-coding RNA, 858 nt
Filed under: Bombus terrestris (buff-tailed bumblebee)
Lineage: Eukaryota; Metazoa; Arthropoda; Insecta; Hymenoptera; Apidae
Description: misc RNA ENSBTSG00005027908.1
Source: RNAcentral
GUCUAAAUUAAUUCUUUCUUCCUAUACCUAUAUCCGCGGUUAGAAACGUUAUUCAAGGUCAUCGUUGGUUAAAUCAACUAAAGUAUAAGCACGAAGGUGAAGAGCAAGGCGAGGUCCCUCGCUCAAACAGCGGGGGAAAUUAUUCUCAUAGGAAACGAAUAAUUCGUCCCUGAUGUUUCACGUAUCACUGAUUCCACGGACAAAUAUCUAGCACAUUGCCCAACGUUAAAUAAAUACAAAAACUUAGAUGCUCGGUACUAUUAAUUAUCAACGAUGAGAGACUUAAGCAUGCAAAAUUUAUGUUUAAUAUAAAAACGAAGUUGAAAUUGAUCUUGAAAUGGAAUAUCACAAGACGAGGAUUUCGAGUUUGCGGAGGAGUCACGAGUAGCGGCGAGGCCCGAAACACUUACAAUUGCUUCGAAUCCACGUGUAACGAAAGAUUCGAAUCACUUCGAAUAUGAUUCGAAGCCUGGAUUCUUGAAAGUCUCGAACUCGUGAUUAGUCACGAGUUACCCAAUGCAAGAAAAAAACAGACGCGUCGCGUAUUAUAUUUAAUACCGAGCUAUUAUUAAAGGAUUCAAAGAACGGUUUACCUCUUGGCGAUAGACAACGUUGGGUACAGCGAUAACGAGAGAAUCUUGCGAAAUACAUAUAUAAGUACUUGUCAGAUAGAUGAUAACGAAAUAUGAAAUUUGUUGUUUCGUGGCUGGCAUAUUGAGAACGUAGUUGAGCAAGGGAAACGAGUAAUAUGGAUAAAGAAUAACGAUUGCCUUGAAUAUGUAUAUUUCUAAUAUUGGAUAUGAGUUGGCUCUGCACGGGCGCGUUAAAGUUUAUUAAAUUAAAUAAUUAAAACUAACU